Molecule: ribosomal RNA, 253 nt
Filed under: uncultured bacterium
Lineage: Bacteria
Description: partial 16S ribosomal RNA
Rfam family: Bacterial small subunit ribosomal RNA
Source: RNAcentral
UACCGAGGGGGCUAGCGUUAUUCGGAAUUAUUGGGCGUAAAGGGCGCGUAGGCGGCCAUGCGUGUCUUCCGUGAAAUCCCUCGGCUUAACUGAGGACGUGCGGAAGAAACUGCAAGGCUCGAGUCCGGGAGAGGGGGGUGGAAUUCCCAGUGUAGCGGUGAAAUGCGUAGAUAUUGGGAGGAACACCGGUGGCGAAGGCGGCCCCCUGGACCGGUACUGACGCUGAGGCGCGAAAGCGUGGGUAGCAAACGGG